GAUGAACGCUGGCGGCGUGCCUAAUACAUGCAAGUCGAGCGAACAGACGAUUAGCUUGCUCCUUUUUCGUUUGCGGCGGACGGGUGAGUAACACGUGUUUAACCUACCUUUUAUACUGGGAUAACUUCGGGAAACCUGUGCUAAUACCGGAUAAUAUUUCGAUCCGCAUUGUUCUUUAGUGAAUGAUGUCUCUGCUAUCUCUUAUAGAUUGUCCUCCGCCGUAUUAGCUAGUUGGUAAGGUAACGGCUUACCAAGGCAACGAUACGUAGCCGACGUGAGAGGGUGAUCGGACAAACUGGAACUGAGACACGGUACAGACUACUACGGGAGGCAGCAGUAGGGAAUCUUCCGCAAUGGGCGAAAGCCUGACGGAGCAACGCCGCGUGAGUGAUGAAGGACUACGGAUCGUAAAACUCUGUUAUUAGGGAAGAACAAAAGUGUAAGUAACUGUGCACGUAUUGACGGUACCUAAACAGAAAGCCACGGCUAACUACGUG
This 497-nucleotide ribosomal RNA is filed under the name uncultured bacterium. RNAcentral describes it as "partial 16S ribosomal RNA". It matches the Rfam family "Bacterial small subunit ribosomal RNA", at positions 28 to 507 of the family's 1533-position model. The record is from RNAcentral.